Etheostoma spectabile (orangethroat darter) is the source of this 110-nucleotide long non-coding RNA. RefSeq lists it as uncharacterized. The transcript is spliced from 2 exons. Lineage: Eukaryota; Metazoa; Chordata; Actinopteri; Perciformes; Percidae. The record is from RefSeq and is a predicted model, not a curated record.
CAUACAUAGUGUGUGGGGUCUGGGUGUUUUCCCCCAGGGUUAUUUUGAGUGUCAAAGACUUCAUUUCCUGCAUUCUGAUACAUUUUUAUGAACCAAUUUAUGGUGGUAAU